AUGAAAUGACCAAAAGCUAAAUGCGCGGCAUCCUGCCGCAUCGCUUUUGUGACCUGCUCAGCAGG
This 65-nucleotide small RNA is filed under the name Domibacillus iocasae. Its description in RNAcentral is "Bacillaceae-1 RNA". It matches the Rfam family "Bacillaceae-1 RNA". The record is from Rfam by way of RNAcentral. Lineage: Bacteria; Bacillati; Bacillota; Bacilli; Caryophanales; Bacillaceae.